GACGAACGCUGGCGGCGUGCUUAACACAUGCCAGUCGAACGGAAAGGCCCUGCUUUUGUUGGGUGCUCGAUUGGCGAACGGGUGAGUAACACGUGAGUAACCUGCCCUUGACUUUGGGAUAACUUCAGGAAACUGGGGCUAAUACCGGAUAGGAGCUCCUGCUGCAUGGUGGGGGUUGGAAAGUUUCGGCGGUUGGGGAUGGACUCGCAGCUUAUCAGCUUGUUGGUGGGGUAGUGGCUUACCAAGGCUUUGACGGGUAGCCGGCAUGGGAGGGUGACCGGCGACAUGGGGACUACGAUACGGACCAGACUCCUACGGGAGGCAGCAGGGGGGAAUAUGGCACAAUGGGCGGAAGCCUGAUGCAGCAACGCCGCGUGCGGGAUGACGGCCUUCGGGUGAUAAACCGCUGUCUCCUGAGACGAAGCGUGAGUGACGGUAAUGGGUAAAGAAGCACCGGCUAACUACGUG
This 468-nucleotide ribosomal RNA is filed under the name uncultured bacterium. RNAcentral's name for it is "partial 16S ribosomal RNA". It matches the Rfam family "Bacterial small subunit ribosomal RNA", at positions 28 to 507 of the family's 1533-position model. The record is from RNAcentral.